RNAcentral lists this ribosomal RNA (340 nucleotides) under Exaiptasia diaphana. RNAcentral's name for it is "partial 16S ribosomal RNA". It matches the Rfam family "Bacterial large subunit ribosomal RNA", at positions 2000 to 2403 of the family's 2925-position model. The record is from RNAcentral. Lineage: Eukaryota; Metazoa; Cnidaria; Anthozoa; Actiniaria; Aiptasiidae.
CAUCACGAGGGCCCCCCUGUCUUAAGAGGACUCUCCAUGAAAUUGAAUUCGUAGUGAAGAUGCUACGUCCAUAUUGUAAGACGAAAAGUCCCCAUUGAGCUUUACUAAAGACUUAUAUGGCUCGAAUAACUUAAAUAAAAAGUUUAGAUAAUGUGGGAUCUGUUUUUGGUUAAUGAGACACCACUCUUUUAUUUUAAGAGAACUAACCUUAUAGGGAGAAUGUAAGUUAGAUAGUUUGGUUGGGGCGACCACCUUUUAAAAGGUAACGAAGGUGAGCUUAAGGUCCGUAGUUAAUAGCUAGAGGCCUGACUGCAAGGGGGACAUCCCGAGCAGACACAUC